Molecule: non-coding RNA, 1997 nt
Organism: Phoenix dactylifera (date palm)
Lineage: Eukaryota; Viridiplantae; Streptophyta; Magnoliopsida; Arecales; Arecaceae
Source: RefSeq, a predicted model, not a curated record
GAAAAUUUAUUAAAUUCCACCGACAAUGAACCUGUUGCCUUCGUCAUCCACCCACGGCAAUGGACCCAGAGCAUCAGCUUCGCAUGUUCUCGUGUCCCGCUGAAUCGUACUGUAAUCAGAUGAAAGAGGAUAGAAUUAUUCCGUGUAAAACCCUCAGCAUUUUGGCCAUUGCUUGCUUCCUCCCAAUGCCGUCGAUCCAAAUCUUCCACUCGAUUCUCCAUAUCUAGAGUUUGAAUCCAUGGCAAGAUUCGCCUCCAAGCCCGCUGCGAGGAAGUACCUCCUCGUUCUGGCGUGCAUCGCGCUCCUCGGGAUCGCCCUCGUCGCGGAUUUCCUCUGGGCUUCAUCCAAUGCCACCUCAUCCUCUCCCUAUUGGUCCACCACGCUGGAUUUCUCUUUAGAUAACGUCCCCAGCCUCGGCUCUCCCCUGGCCAACCAGGUUAAGAAGAUGAAUGAAAAGGAUGACAAAUCGGCAAUGCCGGAAGAUCUAAAUGCAACUUUUGCUGAUAUACCAGCACCGCUAUUGGAGUGGCAAGAGAUGGCAGAGGCACCGGUACCUCGAUUGGAUGGGGCUGCUAUACAGAUUAAGAAUCUUUUAUAUGUGUUUGCUGGAUAUGGUACCAUUGACUAUGUGCAUUCUCAUGUGGAUAUCUAUAAUUUUACUGAUAAUACAUGGGGAGGAAGGUUUGAUAUGCCCAAAGAAAUGGCACAUUCACAUUUAGGAAUGGUAACAGAUGGAAGAUACAUUUAUGUAGUCACUGGACAAUAUGGCCCCCAAUGUAGAGGGCCUACCGCUCGCAACUUUGUGCUGGACACAGAGACGAGAAAGUGGAGUGAUUUGCCAUCCUUACCUGUACCCAGGUAUGCACCAGCCACCCAACUUUGGAGAGGCAGACUCCAUGUUAUGGGUGGCAGCAAGGAGGAUCGUCAUGAGCCUGCAUUGGAUCAUUGGAGUCUUGCCGUAAAGGAUGGAAAAGCCUUGGAGAAAGAAUGGAGAAAUGAAAUACCCAUACCACGUGGUGGUCCCCACAGGGCUUGUGUUGUUGCUAAUGAUCAACUUCUUGUUAUUGGUGGUCAAGAGGGUGAUUAUAUGGCUAAGCCUGGAUCACCAAUUUUCAAAUGCUCCCGAAGAAAUGAGGUGGUGUAUAGUGAUGUCUACAUGCUUGAUGAUGGGGUAAAAUGGAAGCAACUGCCACCGAUGCCGAAACCAGAUUCCCAUAUAGAAUUUGCAUGGGUUAAUGUAAACAAUUCUAUUAUUGUUGUUGGAGGUACAACAGAGAAACACCCUGUGACCAAAAGAAUGGUGCUGGUUGGUGAAGUAUUUCGAUUCAAUUUAGAUACCUUGGUACUUCUAUCAAGAGGUCAUAAAGCCUUACUGCAUUAAUUAAGGUGCAACUUUCAUGCUCAAAGGCACAAACAAAAAGUUGGCUAGUGAACAGCAUAAGACACUGAUCGUAUGCGCUGCUGGUUCAACUUUCAACUACGUAGAACCGACAGUACCUUUAAAAAAAAAAAGACUUGUAACGCUCAAUGGUCUAAAGUAUAAAUGUAGGUGAACAGAUAAAAUCUCUUGACAGAAAUGUCACAAACGCAAUGUGGUAGAGCAGGUGGAAGCAUAGAUUGAGAAAUCUUAGGAAUGGUCAGUAAUUGGGCGAAUGCCUUUCCGCAUCAAGACUACUUUGGUUGGAUUCUGGAAUGGUUGGUUAUAUUUCACAUCAGGACAGCGCGACAAGGGACACAAGGACCCUGCUCCCAAGAAGGUAGUAGGAUGCAUGUGGAGGACAAAGUUGAGAUUGUCACUUCUCCCCUGAUCUAGCCCAAAUCAGGUUUUCUUGAGCUUUAUUCAGUUGGUAUGUGACACUUGUUAAAUUAUUUCAUUGGUUUUAGGGGUUUCUCUGUAGUACUAUAUAAGCAACCAAGCAUGUUCUUCCAUCCGUAGCCACCUGAAUUUUUGUAUUCCUCUUAUAUUUGCUAAUUUCUUUUCAGCAUUAGCUUUCCCA